AGUGACUGUGGUGAAAUUGGCCAACCGAUUGAAAUCUUUCCUGCUGUAGAAAUGGGCAGUACCUUAAAAGAACCUAAUGCUGUGAAAAUAGCUGAUUUUGCCAGUUAUGUUAAGAAAUUGCACGCUAACAGCAACCUGUUUUCAAAGGAGUAUAAGGUAUUAAAAGAGAACAGCCCAACUCACACAACUAAAGCUGCUGAACUUCAGGUGAACCGAAUCAAAAACAGAUAUUUAAACAUCCUAGCUUGUGAGUACAAUUUAUCCUUGUCUUUGAUUAAAA
Saccostrea cuccullata (small rock oyster) is the source of this 280-nucleotide long non-coding RNA. RefSeq lists it as uncharacterized. NCBI's taxonomy places the organism in Eukaryota, Metazoa, Mollusca, Bivalvia, Ostreida, Ostreidae. The record is from RefSeq and is a predicted model, not a curated record. The transcript has 3 exons.